GAUGAACGCUAGCGGCAGGCCUAACACAUGCAAGUCGAGGGGCAGCACGGAAUGUAGCUUGCUACAUCUGGUGGCGACCGGCGCACGGGUGCGUAACGCGUAUGCAACCUACCUUGAACAGGGGGAUAAUUCGGAGAAAUCUGGUCUAAUACCCCAUAAUAUCGGGAUAGGCAUCUAUUCUGGUUAAAAACUCCGGUGGUUCAAGAUGGGCAUGCGUUGUAUUAGCUAGUUGGUGAGGUAACGGCUCACCAAGGCAACGAUACAUAGGGGGACUGAGAGGUUAACCCCCCACACUGGUACUGAGACACGGACCAGACUCCUACGGGAGGCAGCAGUAGGGAAUUUUCGGCAAUGGGGGGAACCCUGACCGAGCAACGCCGCGUGAAGGAAGAAGGUUUUCGGAUUGUAAACUUCUGUUAUAAAGGAAGAACGGUACAUGGAGGGAAUGCCAUGUAAGUGACGGUACUUUAUGAGAAAGCCACGGCUAACUACGUGCCAGCCGCCGCAGUAACAC
RNAcentral lists this ribosomal RNA (514 nucleotides) under uncultured bacterium. RNAcentral's name for it is "bacterial SSU rRNA". It matches the Rfam family "Bacterial small subunit ribosomal RNA", at positions 28 to 526 of the family's 1533-position model. The record is from RNAcentral.